ACACACAGGGCCGCCAUCAGGGCAUGACAACCGUGACAAUUGUCACGGGCCCGGCGGCCCUGGGGGGCCCGGCCGCCCGGGCCCCACGUGGAUCAGCGGAACUGCCGCCGGUGCAUCUGCACCGGGGCCCACACGCUGAUGGGGCCCAUCAGGUGGCCCAAUCAUUUAGGGCCACCCAAUGGGCCCUAUUAUCUUCAGGGGCCCGUUUAGCGCUG
This is a non-coding RNA of Pelobates cultripes (western spadefoot toad), 215 nucleotides long. The record is from the annotation of a GenBank genome assembly. NCBI's taxonomy places the organism in Eukaryota, Metazoa, Chordata, Amphibia, Anura, Pelobatidae.